AGAGUUUGAUCCUGGCUCAGCCUGAACGCUGGCGGCGUGGUUAAGACAUGCAAGUCGAACGGAUGUAGCAAUACAUCAGUGGCGGACGGGUGAGUAAUAUAUCGCUAAUGUGCCGCGGAGCCUGGGAUAGCUUUCCGAAAGGAAAGGUAAUACCAGAUGAUAUAACGAAAAGGCAUCUUUUUGUUCUCAAAGCAGCAAUGCACUCUGUGAGCAGGCGAUAACGUAUCAGCUUGUUGGUGAGGUAACGGCUCACCAAGGCGACGACGCGUAGCUGGUCUGAGAGGACGGCCAGCCACAUUGGGACUGAGACACUGCCCAGACUCCUACGGGGGGCUGCAGUAACGAAUCUUCCGCAAUGCACGAAAGUGUGACGGAGCGACGCCGCGUGGAGGACGAAGUUCUUCGGAAUGUAAACUUCUGUCAGGGGAUACCAAGUUCUGAGGAUCCCCAGAGGAAGGGGCGACUAACUCUGUGCCAGCAGUCGCGGUAAGACAGAGGCCCCGAGCGUUAGGCGGAAUCACUGGGCUUAAAGCGUGUGUAGGCGGAUUCCUAAGUACCUUGUGAAAUCCCCGGGCUCAACCCGGGAACUGCUUGGUAUACUGGGUAUCUUGAGCCAAUUAGGGGCGAUCGGAACAAACGGUGGAGCGGUGAAAUGCGUAGAUAUCGUUUGGAACGCCAAUGGUGAAAACAGAUCGCUGGGAUUGUGCUGACGCUGAGACACGAAAGCCAGGGGAGCAAACGGGAUUAGAUACCCUAGUAGUCC
Molecule: ribosomal RNA, 763 nt
Filed under: uncultured bacterium
Lineage: Bacteria
Description: bacterial SSU rRNA
Rfam family: Bacterial small subunit ribosomal RNA
Source: RNAcentral